AUGUAUAAAUGGAUUUGGACAUUGAAUUGGUCGUUCCUAUCUUCGUUUUUCCCCCUUUUUUUGCAUUUGCAGGUGAGUAGGGACGUUGACCUGGCCCACGGCGGCGGCAGCAUCGGCCUCAUAGGCCUCAUCGCGCAGACGGUGCUCGACGGCGGCCGCAUUGUCGUCGGGGUGAUUCUCAGGGCUCUCAUGCCUAUCGAGAUAUUAGGUGAGAGUGUGGGAGAAGUGAAGGUUGUAUCUGACAUGCAAGGGAGGAAAGCAGAGAUGGCCCGAUGAUCUGAAGCAUUCAUCGCUCUUCCAGGGUGGUACGGAACCAUGGAGGAGCUGUUGGAGAUGAUGACAUGGUCCCAACUCAGAAUUCACAAGAAACCUGACUUCCUGCUAAAUGAUGAUGGUUAGUAUGAUCCCCUGCUUGCAUUGUUUGACAAAGGGGUCGGAGAGGGCUUCAUCAACCCAGAUUGUACAGACAUACUUGUCUCGGCGCCAACCGCCACUGAAUUGUUGACAAAGAUGGAGUAAUACACUUGGUCGCACCAGGAGGUUUCCCGAGCAAAGAGUUGGGAGAUCUCAGAGUUUGGUUACACAAAAGCACCACUGACAAAUGGAUGA
RNAcentral lists this ribosomal RNA (609 nucleotides) under Triticum aestivum (bread wheat). Its description in RNAcentral is "partial small subunit ribosomal RNA". Lineage: Eukaryota; Viridiplantae; Streptophyta; Magnoliopsida; Poales; Poaceae. The record is from RNAcentral.